Molecule: ribosomal RNA, 192 nt
Filed under: uncultured bacterium
Lineage: Bacteria
Description: partial 16S rRNA
Rfam family: Bacterial small subunit ribosomal RNA
Source: RNAcentral
CCUACGGGGGGCGGCAGUAGGGAAUUUUCGGCAAUGGGCGGAAGCCUGACCGAGCAAUGCCGCGUGAACGGAGAAGGUCUUCGGAUUGUAAAGUUCUGUUAUUCGGAAAGAAAGGUAGAGUCAGGAAAUGGGAUCUAUUUGACGGUACCGAAUGAGGAAGCCCCGGCUAACUACGUGCCAGCAGCCCCGGUC